GGAAGGUGGAGCAGAAGCGCACGGCCUGGAGAAACUGCAAGUACCAGGGACUUAAUAGCUGGACAUUCUUAUCCCAAGUUACAGGCAUUUGAACUGGGGCCUCUGGAUAAGAGAACCAUCAAUCCCAGAGAGAAGAUGAAAAUAAACAAAAGAUCUCUAUUUCAUGGACUUGCUUAAGAAACUCUGGACUGAGGACUGGAGAAGUGGCUCAGUCUCUGGAGUGCUUGCCUGGCAGCAUGUCUGAGUGACUGGGCUUGCUCUCCAGCCCGCCGACGUUGGGAGUGGUGGCACGUGCCUGCUGAGGUGGGGGGCUGGAGGCAGUUAUGCUUUAGCCGCAUUGCCAGUCUCAGUGAAAGGAUGAAGCUGUGAAUGGCCCCACAGUCAUAAGGGCACGUAAACUCUAAGAUGUUUCUCUUCUUAUCACAUACAACUAUCAUACAUUCUUGUUCAGUGUUCAGAUAGGAUGUAUCUGAUUUCUUAUUUAUCUUAUUUCUUUCUCUGUUAUCAAUUUUCUAAGAACUACUGAUGCUCAUCCUCAAGAUUCAAGGAUUGGCACACUAUCUCUCUUAAGUUUCCACACUCAUAAACUUGUUUCUGGGCCACACUCUGCUAUACUCUUUCAAUUUUGG
Molecule: long non-coding RNA, 629 nt
Filed under: Rattus norvegicus (Norway rat)
Lineage: Eukaryota; Metazoa; Chordata; Mammalia; Rodentia; Muridae
Description: long non-coding RNA NONRATT021568
Source: RNAcentral